GCGGAGGGAUCAUUACUGAGUGAGGGCCUUUGGGCUCGACCUCCAACCCUUUGUGAACACAACUUGUUGCUUCGGGGGCGACCCUGCCGUUUCGACGGCGAGCGCCCCCGGAGGCCUUCAAACACUGCAUCUUUGCGUCGGAGUUUAAGUAAAUUUAAACAAAACUUUCAACAACGGAUCUCUUGGUUCUGGCAUCGAUGAAGAACGCAGCGAAAUGCGAUAAGUAAUGUGAAUUGCAGAAUUCAGUGAAUCAUCGAAUCUUUGAACGCACAUUGCGCCCUCUGGUAUUCCGGAGGGCAUGCCUGUUCGAGCGUCAUUUCACCACUCAAGCCUGGCUUGGUAUUGGGCGCCGCGGUGUUCCGCGCGCCUCAAAGUCUCCGGCUGAGCUGUCCGUCUCCAAGCGUUGUGAUUUCAUUAAUCGCUUCGGGGUGCGGGUGGCCGCGGCCGUUAAAUCUUUCACAAGGUUGACCUCGGAUCAGGUAGGGAUACCCGCUG
Molecule: ribosomal RNA, 495 nt
Filed under: Sphaerulina patriniae
Lineage: Eukaryota; Fungi; Ascomycota; Dothideomycetes; Mycosphaerellales; Mycosphaerellaceae
Description: eukaryotic LSU rRNA
Rfam family: 5.8S ribosomal RNA (bases 163-316)
Source: RNAcentral